GAUGAACGCUGGCGGCGUGCCUAAUACAUGCAAGUCGAGCGAACAGACGAGGAGCUUGCUCCUCUGACGUUAGCGGCGGACGGGUGAGUAACACGUGGAUAACCUACCUAUAAGACUGGGAAACCUUCGGGAACCGGGACCAAAUCCGGGAAAUUAUUUUAAACCGAUUGGUUCAUUAGUAAAAAACGGUUUUGCUGUCCCUUAUAGAUGGAUCCGCGCCGCAUUAGCUAGUUGGUAAGGUAACGGCUUACCAAGGCAACGAUGCGUAGCCGACCUGAGAGGGUGAUCGGCCACACUGGAACUGAGACACGGUCCAGACUCCUACGGGAGGCAGCUGUAGGGAAUCUUCCGCAAUGGGCGAAAGCCUGACGGAGCAACGCCGCGUGAGUGAUGAAGGUCUUCGGAUCGUAAAACUCUGUUAUUAGGGAAGAACAAAUGUGUAAGUAACUAUGCACGUCUUGACGGUACCUAAUCAGAAAGCCACGGCUAACUACGUG
Molecule: ribosomal RNA, 497 nt
Filed under: uncultured bacterium
Lineage: Bacteria
Description: partial 16S ribosomal RNA
Rfam family: Bacterial small subunit ribosomal RNA
Source: RNAcentral